Molecule: transfer RNA, 76 nt
Filed under: Chloroflexota bacterium
Lineage: Bacteria; Bacillati; Chloroflexota
Description: Chloroflexi bacterium tRNA-Arg
Rfam family: tRNA
About the family: Transfer RNA (tRNA) molecules are approximately 80 nucleotides in length. Their secondary structure includes four short double-helical elements and three loops (D, anti-codon, and T loops).
Source: RNAcentral
GCGCCCGUAGCUCAGUGGACAGAGCAAUCGCCUUCUAAGUGAUUGGCCGUGGGUUCGAGUCCCGCCGGGCGCGCCU